GCUUAGCCACAAACUUUUAAUUACACCCCAAACGCCAGGGAACUACGAGCAAAGCUUAAAACCCAAAGGACUUGACGGUGCCCCAUAUCCCCCUAGAGGAGCCUGUCCUAUAAUCGAUAACCCCCGUUUAACCUCACCAUUUUUAGCCAUAUCAGUCUGUAUACCUCCGUCGUCAGCUUACCACGUGAGUGAAGUAUAGUAAGUAUAAUGUCCAAUCACUCGUCAACACGUCAGGUCAAGGUGCAGCUAACAAAAUGGGAAGAGAUGGGCUACACUCUCUAACUUAGAACAUACGAAAGACUACUAUGAAAACUAGUCUAAAGGUGGAUUUAGCAGUAAAAAAAGACAAGAGUGCUUUUUUUAACUAGGCCCUGGGGUGUGUACACACCGCCCGUCACCCUCUUCGCAGCUACAUUCUAGUAACUAACAAAUUUCGCACAGUAGAAGAGGUAAGUCGUAACAUGGUAAGUAUACCGGAAGGUGUGCUUGGAAA
RNAcentral lists this ribosomal RNA (493 nucleotides) under Boana balzani (Yungas treefrog). RNAcentral describes it as "partial 12S ribosomal RNA". It matches the Rfam family "Bacterial small subunit ribosomal RNA", at positions 794 to 1522 of the family's 1533-position model. The record is from RNAcentral. Lineage: Eukaryota; Metazoa; Chordata; Amphibia; Anura; Hylidae.